This 498-nucleotide ribosomal RNA is filed under the name uncultured bacterium. RNAcentral's name for it is "partial 16S ribosomal RNA". It matches the Rfam family "Bacterial small subunit ribosomal RNA", at positions 28 to 523 of the family's 1533-position model. The record is from RNAcentral.
GAUGAACGCUAGCUACAGGCUUAACACAUGCAAGUCGAGGGGUAGCAGGGUAGCAAUACCGCUGACGACCGGCGCACGGGUGAGUAACACGUAUCCAACCUUCCCAUAACUCGGGGAUAGCCUUUCGAAAGAAAGAUUAAUACCCGAUAGUACUUUUUCAAGGCAUCUUGAGAAAGUUAAAGAUUUAUUGGUUAUGGAUGGGGAUGCGUUCGAUUAGAUAGUUGGUGAGGUAACGGCUCACCAAGUCUUCGAUGGAUAGGGGUUCUGAGAGGAGGGUCCCGCACAUUGGUACUGAGACACGGACUAAAAUCCUACGGGAGGCAGCAGUGAGGAAUAUUGGUCAAUGGGCGAGAGCCUGAACCAGCCAAGUAGCGUGAAGGAUGAAGGUCCUAUGGAUUGUAAACUUCUUUUAUAGUUGAAUAAAGUGACCUACGUGUAGGUUUUUGUAUGUAUACUAUGAAUAAGGAUCGGCUAACUCCGUGCCAGCCGCCGCGGUAA